UACUCCUACGGGAGGCAGCAGUGGGGAAUAUUGCACAAUGGGCGAAAGCCUGAUGCAGCAACGCCGCGUGAGUGAUGACGGCCUUCGGGUUGUAAAGCUCUGUCUUUGGGGACGAUAAUGACGGUACCCAAGGAGGAAGCCACGGCUAACUACGUGCCAGCAGCCGCGGUAAUA
RNAcentral lists this ribosomal RNA (174 nucleotides) under uncultured Clostridium sp. RNAcentral describes it as "partial 16S ribosomal RNA". It matches the Rfam family "Bacterial small subunit ribosomal RNA", at positions 334 to 525 of the family's 1533-position model. Lineage: Bacteria; Bacillati; Bacillota; Clostridia; Eubacteriales; Clostridiaceae. The record is from RNAcentral.